AACAGGAUUUCUCCAAAUCAAAKGUUUGUUAAAUACCCUAAGGCAGAGUUUGCAAUCAUCGUGAAAAUGCUGAAAUAAAAGAGUCAGGGAGAGGUUUAAUACGACUACCCUGUUGUAGCGGUGAAAGCACAGACAAAUUGGAAGGMAUAAUUGAUGGAGAAAGUGCAGGCGUUGUAGCCUUAACAUUGCCCGUGAUGUGCUAGAGCCCGGGGAUCCAUACAGGAGUAGAUACCAGGGUAGUGCAAUCCGUAAACGAUGUCUUUUCAACGUUGGCGCCUUUKAGGCCUUAGUGGCGCAGCUAACCCGAUAAGUAGGCCUCCUGGGGAGUCCGUUCGCAAGACUAAAACUCACAUGAAUUGCCGGGGGCCCGCACAAGCGGUGGAGCAUGUGGUUUAAUUAGAUACAACGAGAAGAACCUUACCUGGCCUUGACAUACUAAGAACUUUCCAGAGAUGGAUUGGUGCCUUCGGGAACUUAGAUACAGGUGCYGCAUGGCUGUUGUCAGCUCGUGUCGUGAGAUGUUGGGUUAAGUCCCGCAACGAGCGCAACCCUUUUCCUUAUUUGCCAGCGGGUAAUGCCGGGAACUUUAAGGAUACUGCCAGUGACAAACUGGAGGAAGGCGGGGACGACGUCAAGUCAUCAUGGCCCUUACGGCCAGGGCUACACACGUGCUACAAUGGUCGGUACAAAGGGUUGCUACCUCGCGAGAGGAUGCUAAUCUCAAAAAGCCGAUCGUAGUCCGGAUCGCAGUCUGCAACUCGACUGCGUGAAGUCGGAAUCGCUAGUAAUCGCGGAUCAGAAUGCCGCGGUGAAUACGUUCCCGGGCCUUGUACACACCGCCCGUCACACCAUGGGAGUUUGUUGCACCAGAAGUAGGUAGUCUAACCGCAAGGAGGACGCUAACCAUCGGGUUCGUUUCCCUUUAAAA
Molecule: ribosomal RNA, 928 nt
Filed under: Acinetobacter sp. BSL13
Lineage: Bacteria; Pseudomonadati; Pseudomonadota; Gammaproteobacteria; Moraxellales; Moraxellaceae
Description: bacterial SSU rRNA
Rfam family: Bacterial small subunit ribosomal RNA (bases 135-928)
Source: RNAcentral